RNAcentral lists this ribosomal RNA (251 nucleotides) under uncultured bacterium. RNAcentral describes it as "partial 16S ribosomal RNA". It matches the Rfam family "Bacterial small subunit ribosomal RNA", at positions 526 to 776 of the family's 1533-position model. The record is from RNAcentral.
CGUAGGUGGCAAGCGUUGUCCGGAUUUAUUGGGUUUAAAGGGUGCGUAGGCGGCUUAAUAAGUCAGUGGUGAAAGCCGAUCGCUUAACGAUCGAACUGCCAUUGAUACUGCUAGGCUUGAGUAUAGUUGAGGUAGGCGGAAUUGACAGUGUAGCGGUGAAAUGCAUAGAUAUUGUCAAGAACACCAAUUGCGAAGGCAGCUUACUAAAGUAUAACUGACGCUGAGGCACGAAAGUGCGGGGAUCAAACAGG